AGAGUUUGAUCCUGGCUCAGAUUGAACGCUGGCGGCAUGCUUUACACAUGCAAGUCGAACGGCAGCACAGGGAGCUUGCUCCCGGGUGGCGAGUGGCGCACGGGUGAGUAAUACAUCGGAACGUGUCCUGUUGUGGGGGAUAACUGCUCGAAAGGGUGGCUAAUACCGCAUGAGACCUGAGGGUGAAAGCGGGGGAUCGCAAGACCUCGCGCAAUUGGAGCGGCCGAUGCCCGAUUAGCUAGUUGGUGAGGUAAAGGCUCACCAAGGCGACGAUCGGUAGCUGGGUCUGAGAGGACGACCAGCCACACUGGGACCUGAGACGACGGCCCAGACUCCUACGGGAAGCA
This 347-nucleotide ribosomal RNA is filed under the name uncultured bacterium. RNAcentral describes it as "bacterial SSU rRNA". It matches the Rfam family "Bacterial small subunit ribosomal RNA", at positions 8 to 350 of the family's 1533-position model. The record is from RNAcentral.